RNAcentral lists this ribosomal RNA (742 nucleotides) under uncultured bacterium. Its description in RNAcentral is "bacterial SSU rRNA". It matches the Rfam family "Bacterial small subunit ribosomal RNA", at positions 28 to 796 of the family's 1533-position model. The record is from RNAcentral.
GAUGAACGCUGGCGGCGUGCCUAACACAUGCAAGUCGAGCGAUUUACUUCGGUAAAGAGCGGCGGACGGGUGAGUAACGCGUGGGUAACCUGCCUCAUACACAUGGAUAACAUACCGAAAGGUAUGCUAAUACAGGAUAAAAUAAGAGAUUCGCAUGGAUUUCUUAUCAAAGCUCCGGCGGUAUGAGAUGGACCCGCGUCUGAUUAGCUAGUUGGUAAGGUAAUGGCUUACCAAGGCGACGAUCAGUAGCCGGCCUGAGAGGGUGAACGGCCACAUUGGGACUGAGACACGGCCCAAACUCCUACGGGAGGCAGCAGUGGGGAAUAUUGCACAAUGGGCGCAAGCCUGAUGCAGCAACGCCGCGUGAAGGAUGAAGGUCUUCGGAUUGUAAACUUCUAUCAGUAGGGAAGAAUAAAUGACGGUACUUGAGGAGGAAGCCCCGGCUAACUACGUGCCAGCAGCCGCGGUAAUACGUAGGGGGCUAGCGUUAUCCGGAUUUACUAGGCGUAAAGGGUGCGUAGGUGGUUUCUUAAGUCAGGAGUGAAAGGCUACGGCUCAACCGUAGUAAGCUCUUGAAACUGGGAAACUUGAGUGCAGGAGAGGGAAGUGGAAUUCCUAGUGUAGCGGUGGAAUGCGUAGAUAUUAGGAGGAACACCAGUAGCGAAGGCGGCUUUCUGGACUGUAACUGACACUGAGGCACGAAAGCGUGGGGAGCAAACAGGAUUAGAUACCCUGGUAGUCC